RNAcentral lists this ribosomal RNA (254 nucleotides) under uncultured bacterium. RNAcentral describes it as "partial 16S ribosomal RNA". It matches the Rfam family "Bacterial small subunit ribosomal RNA", at positions 524 to 776 of the family's 1533-position model. The record is from RNAcentral.
CACGUAGGGGGCGAGCGUUGUCCGGAUUUAUUGGGCGUAAAGGGCUCGUAGGCGGCUCAGUAAGUCGGGUGUGAAACCUCCAGGCUCAACCUGGAGACGCCACCUGAUACUGCUGUGGCUAGAGUCCGGUAGGGGAGCAUGGAAUUCCUGGUGUAGCGGUGAAAUGCGUAGAUAUCUGGAGGAACACCGGUGGCGAAGGCGGCAUCCUGGACCAACACUGACACUGAGGAGCGAAAGCCAGGGGAGCAAACGGG